This 241-nucleotide unclassified non-coding RNA is filed under the name plant metagenome. RNAcentral's name for it is "partial contains small subunit ribosomal RNA, internal transcribed spacer 1, and 5.8S ribosomal RNA". The record is from RNAcentral.
UUUCCGUAGGUGAACCUGCGGAAGGAUCAUUAAAGAGUAAGGGUCUUCGGGCCCGAUCUCCAACCCUUUGUUUAACUACCAUGUUGCUUUGGCGGGCCCGUCUCACGACCGCCGGAAGCUUGGCUUCGACCAAACUUCUGGCCCGUGCCCGUCAGUGGCCCCUUCAAAUUCUUGAUCAAGUAUGAUGUCUUAGUUAAAAACUUAAUAGUUAAAACUUUCAACAACGGAUCUCUUGGUUCUG